GACGAACGCUGGCGGCGUGCUUAACACAUGCAAGUCGAACGGAAAGGCCCUGCUUGCAGGGUACUCUAGUGGCGAACUGGUGAGUAACACGUUGGUGAUCUGCCCUGCACUUCUGGAUAAGCCUGGUAAACUGGGUCUAAUACCGGAUAGGAGCCAUUUUUAGUGUGUUUGUUGGAAAGUUUUUUCGGUGUAGGAUGAGCUCGCGGCCUAUCAGCUUGUUUGUGGGGUAAUGGCCUACCAAGGCGGCGACGGGUAGCCGGCCUGAGAGGGUGGACGGCCAAAUUGGGAAUGAGAUACGGCCCAGACUCCGAAGGGAGGCAGAAGGGGGGAAUAUUGCAAAAUGGGCGCAAGCCUGAUGCAGAGACGCCGCGUGGGGGAUGACGGCCUUCGGGUUGGAAAAUCAGUUCGCUAGGGACGAAGCUUUUUGUGACGGUACCUAGAUAAGAAGCACCGGCUAACUACGUG
This 465-nucleotide ribosomal RNA is filed under the name uncultured bacterium. RNAcentral's name for it is "partial 16S ribosomal RNA". It matches the Rfam family "Bacterial small subunit ribosomal RNA", at positions 28 to 507 of the family's 1533-position model. The record is from RNAcentral.